Molecule: ribosomal RNA, 384 nt
Filed under: uncultured bacterium
Lineage: Bacteria
Description: bacterial SSU rRNA
Rfam family: Bacterial small subunit ribosomal RNA
Source: RNAcentral
UCAGGCCUAACACAUGCAAGUCGAGCGAGACCUUCGGGUCUAGCGGCGGACGGGUGAGUAACGCGUGGGAACGUGCCCUUUGGUUCGGAAUAGCCCCGGGAAACUGGGAGUAAUACCGGAUGAGCCCUACGGGGGAAAGAUUUAUCGCCGAAGGAUCGGCCCGCGUUGGAUUAGGUAGUUGGUGGGGUAAUGGCCUACCAAGCCGACGAUCCAUAGCUGGUUUGAGAGGAUGAUCAGCCACACUGGGACUGAGACACGGCCCAGACUCCUACGGGAGGCAGCAGUGGGGAAUCUUAGACAAUGGGGGAAACCCUGAUCUAGCCAUGCCGCGUGAGCGAAGGAGGCCUUAGGGUUGUAAAGCUCUUUCAGUGGGGAAGAUAAUGA